This 406-nucleotide ribosomal RNA is filed under the name uncultured bacterium. RNAcentral describes it as "partial 16S ribosomal RNA". It matches the Rfam family "Bacterial small subunit ribosomal RNA", at positions 28 to 526 of the family's 1533-position model. The record is from RNAcentral.
GACGAACGCUGGCGGCGUGCCUAAUACAUGCAAGUCGAACGAGUGGCGGACGGGUGAGUAAUGUCUGGGAAACUUCCCGAUGGAGGGGGAUAACUACUGGAAACGGUAGCUAAUACCGCAUACCAUCGGAUGUGCCCAGAUGGGAUUAGCUAGUAGGUGGGGUAAUGGCUCACCUGGGCGACGAUCCCUAGCUGGUCUGAGAGGAUGACCAGCCACACUGGAACUGAGACACGGCCCAGACUCCUACGGGAGGAAGCAGUGGGGAAUAUUGCACAAGGGGCGCAAGCCGGAUGCAGAAAUGCCGCGGGUAUGAAGAAGGCUUUCGGGUUGUAAAGUACUUUCAGCGAGGAGGCGUUACUGGCAGAAGAAGCAACGGCUAACUCCGUGCCAGCAGCCGCGGUAAUUC